Molecule: small RNA, 27 nt
Filed under: Bombyx mori (domestic silkworm)
Lineage: Eukaryota; Metazoa; Arthropoda; Insecta; Lepidoptera; Bombycidae
Description: ovarian small RNA-30602
Source: RNAcentral
UGAAAUGAGAUUUUCUAAAUUGUCGUA